GUUUUGAUUGUCAAUGACUUUACAAGGAUACAUUGACGUCUCCUGCAUCGUGAGAAAUAAGCCAUAGGAUACAUUCAUACCACUCAAAUUCAGCCAGUCAGAAUGAUGGGAAGGAUUGCAGAACUGAGUUUCACUCUCACCUGACUGAUGCAGAUUCACUAACCUAAUUGCUCAUGAUGGUUUCUGAGAAAAAAAAACAGCUUGGUGUAAUUUGACAGUAUUUUUCAGUAUUUGACAGUGGUUCUAUCAUGCAACAGUCAUACCAUGAAGUGUCUCACAGAUUCUCUCUCAAUUCCUGCAAUAUCCAAGAUUACAGUGUAGUGCAAAGAGGAUUAAUUUUCUUGCAAUAAGAAGUAUAUGCACUUCCAAAUACCCUUGUACAGCAUGAACAGUUCCUUCAUUUUUUGAGUGAUUAUAGAGUGAAAAUGUUUCCAUAUAAAAUGUUGUCUUUUUAUGUGUAAAACUUGUUAUGAA
This is a long non-coding RNA of Mya arenaria, 474 nucleotides long. RefSeq lists it as uncharacterized. The transcript is spliced from 4 exons. The record is from RefSeq and is a predicted model, not a curated record. NCBI's taxonomy places the organism in Eukaryota, Metazoa, Mollusca, Bivalvia, Myida, Myidae.